This 472-nucleotide ribosomal RNA is filed under the name uncultured bacterium. RNAcentral describes it as "bacterial SSU rRNA". It matches the Rfam family "Bacterial small subunit ribosomal RNA", at positions 8 to 526 of the family's 1533-position model. The record is from RNAcentral.
AGAGUUUGAUCCUGGCUCAGAACGAACGCUGGCGGCAUGCCUAACACAUGCAAGUCGAACGAGACCUUCGGGUCUAGUGGCGCACGGGUGCGUAACGCGUGGGAAUCUGCCCUUGGGUUCGGAACAACAGUUGGAAACGACUGCUAAUACCGGAUGAUGACUUCGGUCCAAAGAUUUAUCGCCCAAGGAUGAGCCCGCGUAGGAUUAGCUUGUUGGUGAGGUAAAAGCUCACCAAGGCGACGAUCCUUAGCUGGUCUGAGAGGAUGAUCAGCCACACUGGGACUGAGACACGGCCCAGACUCCUACGGGAGGCAGCAGUGGGGAAUCUUGGACAAUGGGCGCAAGCCUGAUCCAGCCAUGCCGCGUGAGUGACGAAGGCCUUAGGGUUGUAAAGCUCUUUUGCCGGGGACGAUAAUGACGGUACCCGGAGAAUAAGUCCCGGCUAGCUUCGUGCCAGCAGCCGCGGUAAUAC